GUCGCGAUGGCGGAGUGGUUAACGCGUUGGAUUUGAAAUCCAAUCACUUUGGUGGCGUAGGUUCGAAUCCUGCUCGCGACG
Non-coding RNA from Xylogone sp. PMI_703, 81 nucleotides. Lineage: Eukaryota; Fungi; Ascomycota; Leotiomycetes. The record is from the annotation of a GenBank genome assembly.